This 309-nucleotide ribosomal RNA is filed under the name uncultured bacterium. Its description in RNAcentral is "partial 16S ribosomal RNA". It matches the Rfam family "Bacterial small subunit ribosomal RNA", at positions 504 to 807 of the family's 1533-position model. The record is from RNAcentral.
AGAGACAGCAGCCGCCACGGGAAAACGAAGGGUGCAAGCGUUAAUCGGAAUUACUGGGCGUAAAGCGCGCGUAGGUGGUUCAUUAAGUUGGAUGUGAAAGCCCUGGGCUCAACCUGGGAACUGCAUCCAAAACUGGUGAGCUAGAGUACGGUAGAGGGUAGUGGAAUUUCCUGUGUAGCGGUGAAAUGCGUAGAUAUAGGAAGGAACACCAGUGGCGAAGGCGACUACCUGGACUGAUACUGACACUGAGGUGCGAAAGCGUGGGGAGCAAACAGGAUUAGAUACCCCCGUAGUCCCUGUCUCUUAUAC